Molecule: unclassified non-coding RNA, 264 nt
Filed under: Hevea brasiliensis (rubber tree)
Lineage: Eukaryota; Viridiplantae; Streptophyta; Magnoliopsida; Malpighiales; Euphorbiaceae
Source: RNAcentral
AAAGAACACAUGCAAAACUCCAAAACCUCUCUCUGUUUUAGCUUUUCUUUCUUUCACCGAUUCGAAUUUCAUCUACAGUUCUCCUUCUCUCUCUCAAAUUAGGGUUUAUGCUCUUCUUUUGGUCACUUUGGGACUAAAAUUCGAUCGAUGCUGUUGCUGUUAUCACCGACCGAAAGCUAUGCAAUGAAGCGGGUACCAUCGACUGAAUUACUGAAAUAGUUGCAGGGAAUGGGAAGUUGUUGUUGUUCUUCCAGGAAACCUCAU